RNAcentral lists this long non-coding RNA (401 nucleotides) under Phoenix dactylifera (date palm). RNAcentral's name for it is "long non-coding RNA (PDAC_LNC004764)". The record is from RNAcentral. Lineage: Eukaryota; Viridiplantae; Streptophyta; Magnoliopsida; Arecales; Arecaceae.
UUUCUCUUUGCAACAUAAACAUUAGUAUCUAUACUUCAAGGUUUUGUGAUCAUCAAAAUCAAUCUAUGAAUCAAUCUUUGGGUCAUCAAUCUCCCCCUUUUUGAUGAUGACAAAACUUGGAGUAUAUGCAAUAUAAAAGAUAUUGAUUUCUAGAAGUAAUACAUAGCUAAGUUGCAUGAAGUAGAAAACAUAUAUAUGUAAAAACAUACUUCAUGAUAAUGCUUUAGAUUUAAUCAGCUUAACACAAUCAACAUAUUUCAAUUUAAGCUGAUUUGUAUUCAAUUCAAAGCAUAAAGGCAUUAUGAGCAUAUACUUAGAUAUUUCUCCCCCUUUUUGACAACAUCAAAAAGAUAGGAAAACAUUAAGCACAAAGAUAAGAACACUCAAAUAUUUCUUUCCCU